Molecule: transfer RNA, 73 nt
Filed under: Camelus bactrianus (Bactrian camel)
Lineage: Eukaryota; Metazoa; Chordata; Mammalia; Artiodactyla; Camelidae
Also listed under: 2 other names
Rfam family: tRNA
About the family: Transfer RNA (tRNA) molecules are approximately 80 nucleotides in length. Their secondary structure includes four short double-helical elements and three loops (D, anti-codon, and T loops).
Source: Rfam by way of RNAcentral
GAGGGUGUAGCUCAAAUGGUAGAGCACAUGCCUAGCAUGCAUGAGGUUCUGGGUUCAAUCCCCAGUACCUCCA